Molecule: long non-coding RNA, 324 nt
Organism: Microtus oregoni (creeping vole)
Lineage: Eukaryota; Metazoa; Chordata; Mammalia; Rodentia; Cricetidae
Exons: 3
Source: RefSeq, a predicted model, not a curated record
GAAGAGUUCAAGGAAGGUCUAAGGGCGGACAGUGUGAAGGAAGCAGAGGUUUUUGUGACCAGGACCCAUGAUAGUAAGGAUGGACCGAGAAGAAAGUUCCCAGAGCGCUGUCCUUAUGCCUGAUGCCACCUGUAUGUCAGCCCAGCGGCAGCUACAGGAACUGACACCAUCAUGGCUUUAUUGACAGGAGUGCUGGACCUGGACCCCUAUCCUCUUCUGCUUCCUCCUGACUGGGAUGGCUCAUCUGCUGCUACAAGCCCACUGAACUGAGUUCUCAAGCCUCUGUCCUGGGCUUUGAAACAGGUGGGCCGUGACAGCCAGCUC